GACGAACGCUGGCGGCGUGCUUAACACAUGCAAGUCGAACGGGAAGGCCCGGCUUUGGUGGGGUGCUCGAGGGGCGAACGGGGGAGUAACACUUGGGUAACCUGCACUUCACUUUGGGAUAACUUCAGGAAACUGGGUCUAAUACCGGCUAGGAGCUCCUGCUGCAUGGUGGGGGUUGGAAGGUUUCGGUGGUUGGGGGUGGACUCGCGGCUUAUGAGCUUGUUGGUUGGGUAGUGGCUUACCAAGGCUUUGACGGGUGGCCGGCCUGAGGGGGUGAGCGGCCACACUGGGACUGAGAUGCGGCACAGCCCCGUACGGGAGGCAGCGGAGGGGAAUAUUGCACAAUGCGCGGAAGCCUGACCUAGUACCGCCGUGCCCGGGAUGACGGCAUUCGGGUUGUAAACCGCUUUCGCCUGUGACGAAGCGUGAGUGACGGUAAUGGGUAAAGAAGCACCGGCUAACUACGUG
This 468-nucleotide ribosomal RNA is filed under the name uncultured bacterium. RNAcentral describes it as "partial 16S ribosomal RNA". It matches the Rfam family "Bacterial small subunit ribosomal RNA", at positions 28 to 507 of the family's 1533-position model. The record is from RNAcentral.